RNAcentral lists this ribosomal RNA (468 nucleotides) under uncultured bacterium. RNAcentral's name for it is "partial 16S ribosomal RNA". It matches the Rfam family "Bacterial small subunit ribosomal RNA", at positions 36 to 507 of the family's 1533-position model. The record is from RNAcentral.
UCCUCCCUCUUUCUUCGUGCUUAACACAUGCAAGUCGAACGGAAAGGCCCUGCUUUUGUGGGGUGCUCGUUUGGCGAACGGGUGAGUAACACGUGAGUAACCUGUCCUUGACUUUGGGAUAACUUCAGGAAACUGGGGCUAAUACCGGAUAGGAGCUCCUGCUGCAUGGUGGGGGGUGGAAAGUUUCGGCGGUUGGGGAUGGACUCGCGGCUUAUCAGCUUGUUGGUGGGGUAGUUGCUUACCAAGGCUUUGACGGGUAGCCGGCCUGAGCGGGUGACCGGCCACAAUGGGACUGAGAUACGGCCCAGACUCCUACGGGAGGCAGCAGUGGGGAAUAUUGCACAAUGGGCGGAAGCCUGAUGCAGCAACGCCGCGUGCGGGAUGACGGCCUUCGGGGUGUAAACCUCUUUCGCCUGUGACGACGCGUGAGUGACGGUAAUGGGUAAAGAAGCACCGGCUAACUACGUG